RNAcentral lists this ribosomal RNA (465 nucleotides) under uncultured bacterium. RNAcentral describes it as "partial 16S ribosomal RNA". It matches the Rfam family "Bacterial small subunit ribosomal RNA", at positions 28 to 507 of the family's 1533-position model. The record is from RNAcentral.
GACGAACGCUGGCGGCGUGCUUAACACAUGCAAGUCGAACGGAAAGGCCCUGCUUGCAGGGUACUCGAGUGGCGAACGGGUGAGUAACACGUGGGUGAUCUGCCCUGCACUUCGGGAUAGGCUUGGGAAACUGGGUCUAAUACCGGAUAGGACCGCACUUUAGUGUGUGUGGUGGAAAGUUUUUUCGGUGUAGGAUGAGCUCGCGGCCUAUCAGCUUGUUGGUGGGGUAAUGGCCUACCAAGGCGGCGACGGGUAGCCGGCCUGAGAGGGUGUACGGCCACAUUGGGACUGAGAUACGGCCCAGACUCCUACGGGAGGCAGCAGUGGGGAAUAUUGCACAAUGGGCGCAAGCCUGAUGCAGCGACGCCGCGUGGGGGAUGAAGGCCUUCGGGUUGUAAACUCCUUUCGCUAGGGACGAAGCUUUUUGUGACGGUACCUAGAUAAGAAGCACCGGCUAACUACGUG